Canis lupus familiaris (dog) is the source of this 501-nucleotide long non-coding RNA. RefSeq lists it as uncharacterized. The record is from RefSeq and is a predicted model, not a curated record. NCBI's taxonomy places the organism in Eukaryota, Metazoa, Chordata, Mammalia, Carnivora, Canidae. The transcript has 3 exons.
ACCUACUAUGUGACUGAUUUCUCUCCAGGGUCCAUUGCUACAUUAUAAAUAUGUGUGACAUAUUUGACAUCAUAUGACAAAUGAUGACAAACAUAUCAUUGUUGGGUAAUCAAGAAAGUGACACCUCCAAAGAAAGAAGAAGGGAAGAGAGGGAAUGGAGAAGAAUCAAAAAAUAAGGAAAAGGAGGAAGAGGAAAAAACAGAAGGAGGAUAAAAAGAGAUAUGGAGAGUAAAUUUCGAAUUUGUUAAUUGAUAAAUACAUAUGGUAAAAGUCAUUGGAAGACCAUGCCUGGAUGGAUACAACCUUGGGCAAAAUGGUCUUUGUGGCUGAGACAAUCCUUGAAGGGGCCUACCACCAAAGGCUAUUUAUGGACAUCACUCUCAGCAGGUUCAUCGACAACCACAACUUUACUGACCGGCGGGGGAAGAGCGAGGUUCCGUAGCAUCAAAGCAACAAGACAGGACAGGGAUAUUUUUCACAUUUUGUAUUUCUAAAUAAACC